Long non-coding RNA from Mustela lutreola (European mink), 447 nucleotides. RefSeq lists it as uncharacterized. The record is from RefSeq and is a predicted model, not a curated record. Lineage: Eukaryota; Metazoa; Chordata; Mammalia; Carnivora; Mustelidae. The transcript has 3 exons.
AUGACCAUGGUUGUCCUCAAGAACAUGUGGAUGUGGGAGCAAUUCCCAGAAAGGGGAAGGUGGGCAGACAAGCCAACAGCGUGUCCCACUAAAGAGGGUGGACUCCUGCUCUUAUCUCAGUGACAGAAGACAGCUUUGAAGGAGGAAAAAGAUCAUUCCCUUUGCUGGCCCUUGGACUGAAUACUUGGCACAGCAGUUUGGAACCAGAACAUCCCUUAAAAAUAAUCUACUUCAAUGGUUGGCAUCCAAGAGCCCCUUAAGGGUGGCGUCUUCACAUGACCUUUUAAUGUCUGUAUCUCUGAUCUUCUCAGUGUGAUGAGAAAAGAGAGUCACGCAGCUGGCAAAUGGCAGAGGCAUCAUUCAAACCCGGUGGCUGGCUCCACUAUUCUACUCUCAGCCACACGAUAAAGUGGCAAACAUUACCUCCUUCGCAGGGUUUGUUGAGAG